GUGUCAGCAGCCGCGGUAAAACGUAGGGGACAAGCGUUAUCCGGAUUUACUGGGCGUAAAGCGCCCGUAGGCGGCUUAACAAGUUGGAUGUGAAAGCUCCCGGCUUAACUGGGAGAGGUCAUUCAAAACUGUUAGGCUAGAGGAUGGAAGAGGAGAGCGGAAUUCCCGGUGUAGUGGUGGAAUGCGUAGAGAUCGGGAGGAACACCAGUGGCGAAAGCGGCUCUCUGGUUCACACCUGACGCUGAGGGGCGAAAGCGUGGGGAGCGAACGGGAUUAGAAACCCCCGUAGUCC
This 292-nucleotide ribosomal RNA is filed under the name uncultured bacterium. RNAcentral describes it as "partial 16S ribosomal RNA". It matches the Rfam family "Bacterial small subunit ribosomal RNA", at positions 505 to 796 of the family's 1533-position model. The record is from RNAcentral.